Molecule: ribosomal RNA, 830 nt
Filed under: uncultured marine microorganism
Description: bacterial SSU rRNA
Rfam family: Bacterial small subunit ribosomal RNA
Source: RNAcentral
AGAGUUUGAUCAUGGCUCAGGAUGAACGCUGGCGGUAUGCCUAACACAUGCAAGUCGAACGAUGUCUUCGGACAUAGUGGCGGACGGGUGAGUAACGCGUGAGAAUCUGCCUCUAGGAUGGGGAUAACGGUUGGAAACGACCGCUAACACCCAAUAUGCCGUAAGGUGAAAAAUUUAUUGCCUGGAGAGGAGCUCGCGUCUGAUUAGCUAGUUGGUGGGGUAAGAGCUCACCAAGGCCUCGAUCAGUAGCUGGUCUGAGAGGAUGAGCAGCCACACUGGGACUGAGACACGGCCCAGACUCCUACGGGAGGCAGCAGUGGGGAAUUUUCCGCAAUGGGCGAAAGCCUGACGGAGCAAUACCGCGUGAGGGAGGAAUGCCUUUGGGUUGUAAACCUCUUUUCUCAGGGAAGAAGAUCUGACGGUACCUGAGGAAUAAGUAUCGGCUAACUCCGUGCCAGCAGCCGCGGUAAUACGGAGGAUGCAAGCGUUAUCCGGAAUCAUUGGGCGUAAAGCGUCCGCAGGUGGUUUCCAAAGUCUGCUGUUAAAGACUGGAGCUCAACUCCGGAACGGCGGUGGAAACUUGGAAACUAGAGUUCGGUAGGGGUAGCAGGAAUUCCCAGUGUAGCGGUGAAAUGCGUAGAUAUUGGGAAGAACAUCGGUGGCGAAGGCGUGCUACUGGACCGUAACUGACACUCAGGGACGAAAGCUAGGGGAGCGAAAGGGAUUAGAUACCCCUGUAGUCCUAGCUGUAAACGAUGGAAACUAGGUGUGGCUUGUAUCGACCCGAGCCGUGCCGUANCUAACGCGUUAAGUUUCCCGCCUGGGGAGUA